UCCUCCCAAAAAAAAUUUAAGAUAGAACAAUUAGCACCAACUUAAGUUUAGAAACUAGAUCAUAAAUGUACUCAGAAGCUGAAGUGGCAAAUCGAGAGCUAGAGUAGCAACUCAAAAAUUGAUGUAAUAGACUAGGAGCUGACAUUGCAUCUCAGAAGUUAAUGUAAAGGUAGAUCAGCAGUUGAUGUGGCUGCUCAAAUGCUCAAGUGAUAAAUUAAGAGCUGACAUAGAAGCACAAAAACUGAUGUGGC
RNAcentral lists this long non-coding RNA (251 nucleotides) under Elaeis guineensis (African oil palm). RNAcentral describes it as "long non-coding RNA (EGUI_LNC021291)". The record is from RNAcentral. Lineage: Eukaryota; Viridiplantae; Streptophyta; Magnoliopsida; Arecales; Arecaceae.